Molecule: ribosomal RNA, 738 nt
Filed under: Escherichia coli
Lineage: Bacteria; Pseudomonadati; Pseudomonadota; Gammaproteobacteria; Enterobacterales; Enterobacteriaceae
Description: bacterial SSU rRNA
Rfam family: Bacterial small subunit ribosomal RNA
Source: RNAcentral
GGCAGUCGAACGGUGAACAGGAAGCAGCUUGCUGCUUCGCUGACGAGUGGCGGACGGGUGAGUAAUGUCUGGGAAACUGCCUGAUGGAGGGGGAUAACUACUGGAAACGGUGAGCUAAUACCGCAUAACGUCGCAAGACCAAAGAGGGGGACCUUAGGGCCUCUUGCCAUCGGAUGUGCCCAGAUGGGAUUAGCUAGUAGGUGGGGUAACGGCUCACCUAGGCGACGAUCCCUAGCUGGUCUGAGAGGAUGACCAGCCACACUGGAACUGAGACACGGUCCAGACUCCUACGGGAGGCAGCAGUGGGGAAUAUUGCACAAUGGGCGCAAGCCUGAUGCAGCCAUGCCGCGUGUAUGAAGAAGGCCUUCGGGUUGUAAAGUACUUUCAGCGGGGAGGAAGGGAGUAAAGUUAAUACCUUUGCUCAUUGACGUUACCCGCAGAAGAAGCACCGGCUAACUCCGUGCCAGCAGCCGCGGUAAUACGGAGGGUGCAAGCGUUAAUCGGAAUUACUGGGCGUAAAGCGCACGCAGGCGGUUUGUUAAGUCAGAUGUGAAAUCCCCGGGCUCAACCUGGGAACUGCAUCUGAUACUGGCAAGCUUGAGUCUCGUAGAGGGGGGUAGAAUUCCAGGUGUAGCGGUGAAAUGCGUAGAGAUCUGGAGGAAUACCGGUGGCGAAGGCGGCCCCCUGGACGAAGACUGACGCUCAGGUGCGAAAGCGUGGGGAGCAAACAGGAUUAGA